GAUGAACGCUGGCGGCGUGCCUAAUACAUGCAAGUCGAGCGAACAGACGAGGAGCUUGCUCCUCUGACGUUAGCGGCGGACGGGUGAGUAACACGUGGAUAACCUACCUAUAAGACUGGGAUAACUUCGGGAAACCGGAGCUAAUACCGGAUAAUAUAUUGAACCGCAUGGUUCAAUAGUGAAAGACGGUUUUGCUGUCACUUAUAGAUGGAUCCGCGCCGCAUUAGCUAGUUGGUAAGGUAACGGCUUACCAAGGCAACGAUGCGUAGCCGACCUGAGAGGGGGAUCGGCCACACGGGAACUGAGACACGGUCCAGACUCCUACGGGAGGCAGCAGUAGGGAAUCUUCCGCAAUGGGCGAAAGCUUGACGGAGCAACGCCGCGUGAGUGAUGAAGGUCUUCGGAUCGUAAAACUCUGUUAUUAGGGAAGAACAAAUGUGUAAGUAACUAUGAACGUCUUGACGGUACCUAAUCAGAAAGAAACGGCUAACUA
This 493-nucleotide ribosomal RNA is filed under the name uncultured bacterium. RNAcentral describes it as "partial 16S ribosomal RNA". It matches the Rfam family "Bacterial small subunit ribosomal RNA", at positions 28 to 503 of the family's 1533-position model. The record is from RNAcentral.